AUAGCUGUUCCCAUCCAGAGGCCUCCC
Molecule: unclassified non-coding RNA, 27 nt
Filed under: Mus musculus (house mouse)
Lineage: Eukaryota; Metazoa; Chordata; Mammalia; Rodentia; Muridae
Description: oocyte_clustered_small_RNA1850
Source: RNAcentral